RNAcentral lists this ribosomal RNA (820 nucleotides) under Rhyncaphytoptus ficifoliae. Its description in RNAcentral is "partial large subunit ribosomal RNA". It matches the Rfam family "Eukaryotic large subunit ribosomal RNA", at positions 380 to 843 of the family's 3401-position model. Lineage: Eukaryota; Metazoa; Arthropoda; Arachnida; Trombidiformes; Diptilomiopidae. The record is from RNAcentral.
UUGCAGAGAUUAAGAGGGCGUGAAACCGUUAUAUUGGCAAACGAAUCGGAGCCACGAAGUCGUUUCGUUGUUGGGUCCAAGUUCAGCUUAGCAAGACAUUGCUGGGUGUACUCUUGGGCUAACCAACUUUGUAAGCGUACACUGCAACCAGUUAGACGAUUGGAAAUGGGUCCAGUUUGAAGCAGACUUCGGUUUGCCUCAGGCGAAGCAUUUAUUUGUUCGAGUUAGUAGUAGCGCUGGUGAGUUUCGGCUUACUUUGUGUUGCUGGGCUCGCAACAAGUGAACUAUAUCCAAAUACUGACUGGCAAAAUGAAAAUCACCCCCAGUGGUGUUGUACACAAUGCAAUGCCUACACUAUGAGCUACAUACUGAACCAUGUGGUUUUAAGCUCAGCAUUUUUGAAUUUGGACUUGCUCGCUACCAGUGGGGCAACUCCUGGUGCUUGUAUAGCUUUCAUCUAAUCGGGUGUUGACUUGGCUAUAUGUAGUUUUAGUAUGCUAUGAUAGGCUUGUAGUGUAAGGUAAUUUGCCAUUGGAUUGGCAGUGAGUAGGUCGGCUUUCCGAACGACCCGUCUUGAAACACGGACCAAGGAGUCUAAUUAGGCAUCAAGUCGAUCGGUCUUGAUUAGGCCAGACAGUGGGGGUGUUACAGCCUCCCACAAUUGAAGGCGUAGAGAAAUCAAAUCAUGUGAUCGUGGCGGGCAACAACAGCCUCCAUGCGCAACAUGUGCCUGUUCGUAUAGUAAUGUUAGCAAUAACUUACUGUGCGGAGCAAAGAGAUGCCUGAUUGGUACCCGAAGAUGGCAUUUUUUUAAAAUUUU